Molecule: long non-coding RNA, 367 nt
Organism: Neofelis nebulosa (Clouded leopard)
Lineage: Eukaryota; Metazoa; Chordata; Mammalia; Carnivora; Felidae
Exons: 3
Source: RefSeq, a predicted model, not a curated record
UGGCACAAUUGCCAAAUCUUCCUCUUGAUACAAUUUAAAGAAUUUCUGUAAUCCCCUCAUUUGUUCAGAUAUUAUAUGGUAUUGUUUUACACUUAUGUGUGAGAAUAAUUAUCUUAAGAUCUGCAUUUUAGGCUAGAAGUGCAAAAUGCCAGACAGGAAGAAACCAUCAAACAACAAGCCGCCCAAAUUCAAAACCUUCAGAGCAACUUGUUAAAGACAAGUUUGUUGCAAGAAGCAAAGGAUCAACAUGCAGAGGCCAUAAGAUAUGCCGAGAAGACGCUAGAAGUGCAACAUGCCAGGCCAGAAGCAACCAUCAAUCAGCAAGCGGCCCAAAUUCACAAUCUUCCGAGAAACUUGUUAAGGACAA